This 710-nucleotide ribosomal RNA is filed under the name uncultured bacterium. RNAcentral's name for it is "bacterial SSU rRNA". It matches the Rfam family "Bacterial small subunit ribosomal RNA", at positions 94 to 823 of the family's 1533-position model. The record is from RNAcentral.
AGCGGCGGACGGGUGAGUAACGCGUGGGUAACUUGCCCUGUACACACGGAUAACAUACCGAAAGGUAUGCUAAUACGAGAUAAUAUACUUUUAUCGCAUGGUAGAAGUAUCAAAGCUUUUGCGGUACAGGAUGGACCCGCGUCUGAUUAGCUAGUUGGUAAGGUAACGGCUUACCAAGGCGACGAUCAGUAGCCGACCUGAGAGGGUGAUCGGCCACAUUGGAACUGAGACACGGUCCAAACUCCUACGGGAGGCAGCAGUGGGGAAUAUUGCACAAUGGGCGAAAGCCUGAUGCAGCAACGCCGCGUGAGCGAUGAAGGCCUUCGGGUCGUAAGGCUCUGUCCUCAAGGAAGAUAAUGACGGUACUUGAGGAGGAAGCCCCGGCUAACUACGUGCCAGCAGCCGCGGUAAUACGUAGGGGGCUAGCGUUAUCCGGAAUUACUGGGCGUAAAGGGUGCGUAGGUGGUUUCUUAAGUCAGAGGUGAAAGGCUACGGCUCAACCGUAGUAAGCCUUUGAAACUGGGAAACUUGAGUGCAGGAGAGGAGAGUGGAAUUCCUAGUGUAGCGGUGAAAUGCGUAGAUAUUAGGAGGAACACCAGUUGCGAAGGCGGCUCUCUGGACUGUAACUGACACUGAGGCACGAAAGCGUGGGGAGCAAACAGGAUUAGAUACCCUGGUAGUCCACGCCGUAAACGAUGAGUACUAGCUGU